This 253-nucleotide ribosomal RNA is filed under the name uncultured bacterium. RNAcentral's name for it is "partial 16S ribosomal RNA". It matches the Rfam family "Bacterial small subunit ribosomal RNA", at positions 524 to 776 of the family's 1533-position model. The record is from RNAcentral.
UACGAAGGGGGCUAGCGUUGCUCGGAAUUACUGGGCGUAAAGGGCGCGUAGGCGGCUUGGCAAGUCAAAGGUGAAAUCCCUCGGCUCAACUGAGGAACUGCCUUUGAAACUGCCUGGCUUGAGGCCGGGAGGGGGUAGCGGAAUUCCCAGUGUAGCGGUGAAAUGCGUAGAUAUUGGGAGGAACACCAGUGGCGAAGGCGGCUACCUGGACCGGUUCUGACGCUGAUGCGCGAAAGCGUGGGUAGCAAACAGG